Molecule: long non-coding RNA, 414 nt
Organism: Impatiens glandulifera
Lineage: Eukaryota; Viridiplantae; Streptophyta; Magnoliopsida; Ericales; Balsaminaceae
Exons: 2
Source: RefSeq, a predicted model, not a curated record
UUCUUGCAAAGCAAAUGGUUCAAUCUAAACUGUUGAUACUAAGAAUUUCGUUGUUUAGGGCCUAAACUGUUGAUAUUCUUUUAUGUGUUUGGUUUGCUUUGACGUAAAAUAGAUUUUGUUAUGAAGAUGAUUGCACAAAAGAAGACCCACUAUCACAAGAGCUCUUCCGCAAACUAGCAAUGCCUUUGCCAUUCUCGAAGCAGCAUCACUCGAAGCUGGUCUGUUACAUAACAAAGGACUUAAUGGACACUGAGAAUCCUCCACUAGUCCUGCCUAAUGGAUAUGUCUACAGCACAAAGGCUAUGGAAGAAAUGGCCAGAAAAAACAAUGGGGUGAUUUAAUGUCCAAGAACCGGAGAUAUAUGCAAUUUCUCCAGCUUAGUCAAGUCGUACAUUUCAUGAAUCCUUCUUCUUC